This 906-nucleotide ribosomal RNA is filed under the name uncultured bacterium. RNAcentral describes it as "bacterial SSU rRNA". It matches the Rfam family "Bacterial small subunit ribosomal RNA", at positions 57 to 971 of the family's 1533-position model. The record is from RNAcentral.
GCAGUCGAGGGGUAUAGGCUUUCGGACCUAGAGACCGGCGCACGGGUGCGUAACGCGUAUGCAAUCUGCCUUUUACAGAGGGAUAGCCCAGAGAAAUUUGGAUUAAUACCUCAUAGUAUUAUUGAAUGGCAUCAUUUAAUAAUUAAAGUCACAACGGUAAAAGAUGAGCAUGCGUCCCAUUAGCUUGUUGGUAAGGUAACGGCUUACCAAGGCAACGAUGGGUAGGGGUCCUGAGAGGGAGAUCCCCCACACUGGUACUGAGACACGGACCAGACUCCUACGGGAGGCAGCAGUGAGGAAUAUUGGUCAAUGGGCGCAAGCCUGAACCAGCCAUGCCGCGUGCAGGAUGACGGUCCUAUGGAUUGUAAACUGCUUUUGUACAGGAAGAAACAGUUCUACGUGUAGAGCCUUGACGGUACUGUAAGAAUAAGGAUCGGCUAACUCCGUGCCAGCAGCCGCGGUAAUACGGAGGAUCCAAGCGUUAUCCGGAAUCAUUGGGUUUAAAGGGUCCGUAGGCGGUUUUGUAAGUCAGUGGUGAAAGCCCAUCGCUCAACGGUGGAACGGCCAUUGAUACUGCAAGACUUGAAUUAUUGGGAAGCAACUAGAAUAUGUAGUGUAGCGGUGAAAUGCUUAGAGAUUACAUGGAAUACCAAUUGCGAAGGCAGGUUGCUACCAAUAUAUUGACGCUGAUGGACGAAAGCGUGNGGAGCGAACAGGAUUAGAUACCCUGGUAGUCCACGCCGUAAACGAUGGAUACUAGCUGUUCGGAGCAAUCUGAGUGGCUAAGCGAAAGUGAUAAGUAUCCCACCUGGGGAGUACGUUCGCAAGAAUGAAACUCAAGGAAUUGACGGGGGCCCGCACAAGCGGUGGAGCAUGUGGUUUAAUUCGAUGAUACGCGAGGAACCU